Molecule: ribosomal RNA, 468 nt
Filed under: uncultured bacterium
Lineage: Bacteria
Description: partial 16S ribosomal RNA
Rfam family: Bacterial small subunit ribosomal RNA
Source: RNAcentral
GACGAACGCUGGCGGCGUGCUUAACACAUGCAAGUCGAACGGAAAGGCCCUGCUUUUGUGGGGUGCUCGAGUGGAGAACGGGUGAGUAACACGUGAGUAACCUGCCAUUGACUUUGGGAUAACUUCAGGAAACUGGGGCUAAUACCGGAUAGGAGCUACUGCUGCAUGGUGGGGGUUGGAAAGUUUCGGCGGUUGGGGAUGGACUCGCGGCUUAUCAGCUUGUUGGUGGGGUAGUGGCUUACCAAGGCUUUGACGGGUAGCCGGCCUGGGAGGGUGACCGGCCACAUUGGGACUGAGAUACGGCCCAGACUCCUACGGGAGGCAGCAGUGGGGAAUAUUGCACAAUGGGCGGAAGCCUGAUGCAGCAACGCCGCGUGCGGGAUGGCGGCCUUCGGGUUGUAAACCGCUUUCGCCUGUGACGAAGCGUGAGUGACGGUAAUGGGUAAAGAAGCACCGGCUAACUACGUG